GAAUUCACUAGUGAUUCAGGCCUAACACAUGCAAGUCGAGCGAUGAUUAAAGAUAGCUUGCUAUUUUUAUGAAGAGCGGCGAACGGGUGAGUAACGCGUGGGAAAUCUGCCGAGUAGCGGGGGACAACGUUUGGAAACGAACGCUAAUACCGCAUAACAAUGAGAAUCGCAUGAUUCUUAUUUGAAAGAAGCAAUUGCUUCACUACUUGAUGAUCCCGCGUUGUAUUAGCUAGUUGGUAGUGUAAAGGACUACCAAGGCGAUGAUACAUAGCCGACCUGAGAGGGUGAUCGGCCACACUGGGACUGAGACACGGCCCAGACUCCUACGGGAGGCAGCAGUAGGGAAUCUUCGGCAAUGGGGGCAACCCUGACCGAGCAACGCCGCGUGAGUGAAGAAGGUUUUCGGAUCGUAAAACUAAAAGUGGUUAGAGAAGAACGUUAAGUAGAGUGGAAAAUUACUUAAGUGACGGUAUCUAACCAGAAAAG
This 486-nucleotide ribosomal RNA is filed under the name uncultured bacterium. RNAcentral's name for it is "bacterial SSU rRNA". It matches the Rfam family "Bacterial small subunit ribosomal RNA", at positions 34 to 491 of the family's 1533-position model. The record is from RNAcentral.